This is a non-coding RNA of Marmota flaviventris (yellow-bellied marmot), 336 nucleotides long. Lineage: Eukaryota; Metazoa; Chordata; Mammalia; Rodentia; Sciuridae. The record is from RefSeq and is a predicted model, not a curated record.
CAGGCAUGCUGGCACUAGCCCUGGUUUCUUGAACACUGCGCCUGGAGGGAUUAACAAACUGAGAUCAUCUUGGUUCAUACUUAGGGCAUGAUGUUUUCUGGAGCACCUGGAUGACUCAAAGCCUUGACUACAGCUCAGGUUCAGUCUUCUAAAUGCUUCACCACCUCCCAAUAGCUCCACAGGCUGAGGACCAAGCAUUCAAUACAGAGCCCUUUGGAGGACAUCCCAUACCCAAACUAUAGCAGCCCAGCAGCUUUUCUCAGAACGCAAGCACACACACGCCAUGGCUGAGCGUCUGCUGGGUAGAUGCUGGGGAAACAGGAAAAUGACCUUUGG